UAAACACUUCAAAAAUUGUUU
This 21-nucleotide non-coding RNA is filed under the name Caenorhabditis elegans. The record is from RNAcentral. Lineage: Eukaryota; Metazoa; Nematoda; Chromadorea; Rhabditida; Rhabditidae.